CUCAUGCUUACUUUGCUCUGCAGUGAUCUGUUCAGACAGUGAAGUGGGUAAGCAUUGGAGAAAGUCUUCAUCCUAUGUCUCCCAGAAGCUAAGGGCGAAAUUUCUAUGAAACAGAUUUCGAGUCUUGCAGGUAAAUAUCUAGAUGGGUAAUCCCUGUAGAAAGGAAGUUUUUGCUUCUGAGGAGAAACCACAACAGCAUGACAACAACAGGAAAACUGGACUUUUAGCAAAGAGGAAAAGAAGAGGUUACUACUGUUUGCGAGACCAUAACUCAAACAACUCACCCAUUAGCAAUAGUGCCUGUCAGACAAGACCUUUGGGAGGAUCUUCUCAGAAAAGUUGUUCUACAAGAAGUUGGACCAUCAGUAAGAUUUGACCAGCUUCUGUAAAGGUGAGUGCUAUUUUUCCUGCUGUUUUAAUAGAUGAAGUAGUCUAUCUAGGUGCUAAUACCACUUCUUAUUAUUGUACAAUAUAAUAAAAUUUUUCCUCCUCUGAAUGUGGUGUCUAGAUGCUAGAAGAUAUUUUACCUGUCAAGGAAAUGGCUAAAUGGAUGACAAAAAACAUAUACUUCUUUGCUUAGUAAAUGACUAAGAGAGAGAAGGUAAAUUAAAAUGGUCCUUGAUGGAAUUUAUUUAGUAGAUUUAUCCUUCAAUUAAAACUAAUGAUCAGAAAAGUGAUCCUUUUACCUAUGGACAGCUUUCUCUGUUACAAAGCAAAAGUCAUUAUUCCAUAUUAUUCUUAUUACAUCUAUCCAUCCUGCUUUAAUGUAAAAGUCACACAGGCAAGACUGUCAAGUGCAGUUCAGAUUUUUUUUUUAUUGGUUUUGAUAGCCUUUAAAAGACAGUUCUAAUUUUGGACCUCAAAGCUAACAGUGACCUUUCAUUGCAAGGAUUUUUGAAUGCAAUGAGCACAUUUAUUAAUAUUAAUCCCAGGUUAGCUCUUAUGUGAAUUCCUCCUACUGACAUUUACAGCAACCCAACAACUAUGACCUUAUUUUAAGGUUUAAAACAACCCUCUCAGCUGCUUUAUUAAUGAUAAGAAUUAAAACAAAAUGAAAAUAAGAACUUUUUUUUAGUAUUUAUUUUAUUUCUUAAAGAUUCAGUGAGAUACAAAAUGAAAAGAGUUGUACUUUCUAAAACACAAAUGCUGUGAUGUUCUUUUAUAAAUGUCAUCCUCAGCUACAGGGUCAAAUAAUGCAGAAAAAUUGAUUCAUGAAUAUUUUCAUGAAUAGCAUUGACAAGACCAUCUGACUUGAGGUCACAUUAUUUACAGUUGAUAAGUGACUUGGUUGGUCACUUGGAAUUAGUCAACAUGCUCACAAUUCCGAAGUCUUCCACUUACUUUGCUACAAUUAUGACUUUCAUGGGAAUGCGUGUGUUCUUUGUUUAUUCUUUUUUACUGCUCUUCUGCUGAAAAUGGCUAUGUGUGAUCCAUAAUGAAGUAGGAAUUUUAAUUCAUAGUCUUUCUGCUGAGAGCGCAAACUAGAUAAAACAUUGUUGUGGUUUAACCCUAGCCAGCAACCAAGCACCAUGCAGCCGCUUCCUCACUCCUCCCC
Molecule: long non-coding RNA, 1555 nt
Organism: Harpia harpyja (harpy eagle)
Lineage: Eukaryota; Metazoa; Chordata; Aves; Accipitriformes; Accipitridae
Exons: 3
Source: RefSeq, a predicted model, not a curated record